CCCUUAGAUGUCCUGGGCCGCACGCGCGCUACACUGAACGGAUCAGCGCGUUUUCCCUUCCCGAGAGGGACGGGUAACCUGCUGAACCCCGUUCGUGGUAGGGAUCGGGGCUUGCAAUUAUUCCCCGUGAACCAGGAAUGCCCAGUAAGUGCAAGUCAUAAGCUUGCGUUGAUUACGUCCCUGCCCUUUGUACACACCGCCCGUCGCUCCUACCGAUUUCGAGUGGUUCGGUGAACCUUUCGGACCGGCAAUGCCUCGUGUUGCGCCGGAAAGUCAAGUAAACCAUAUCACUUAGAGGAAGGAGAAGUCGUAACA
RNAcentral lists this ribosomal RNA (315 nucleotides) under uncultured eukaryote. RNAcentral's name for it is "partial 18S ribosomal RNA". It matches the Rfam family "Eukaryotic small subunit ribosomal RNA", at positions 1470 to 1796 of the family's 1831-position model. The record is from RNAcentral.